This 6564-nucleotide long non-coding RNA is filed under the name Homo sapiens (human). RNAcentral's name for it is "HSALNT0353976". Lineage: Eukaryota; Metazoa; Chordata; Mammalia; Primates; Hominidae. The record is from RNAcentral.
AAUGGAUGUGGCUCUUAGAAUGCACUUGAAAUUCUUCUUCCUCUUCAUGGUGUCUUUGUGGCCAGAUGUCUUGGAAGGCCCAGGAAUGAAGGCGCCUCUGGAUAAAGUGGCCAUCCUGCUUCUGAGAGCAUGGGGGACCCAGGGCCUGGAACGUGAAAGCCAUAAACUGUCCUCCAUUCAGAGCAAAGCAAUGCUCCCUCCAUUGCUUCUAAGUUCCCAGCCCCAGUUCUGGAUGAGAAAAUGGAGAGCAGCCUCAGUAGUCACUUUCCUUCAACUUCAAGGCUGCCAUGAGAUGGUCACCACCUCAUGACCAGGAAGGAGCAUGCUGCUUUGGUAGACUACACAUACCUCCCUGUGGCAGCCAGGCCCCCACCACCCAUUCUCAUCAUUCCACACAAACGUGAGCCCCUACCAUGAACAAGAUGUUGCAUGGAGCACUGGCAGAAGCAGAGUGAGUUGAAGGUGGCUUCCUCCCAGGACUGCAUGGUCACAGACCCCAGCACCAGCAAAGUAUGGUCAUCAGGACCACAGGAAGGGCCAGAGAUGGGCUAUGGGGCACUGGGGUCAGGAAGAGUGCCCCAUCUUCCUGAAGGGUGAUACUGGACCUGGUCCUUGGAGAAUAAGAAAGAUCUGAUGAAGCAAAACCCUGGAAGGAGGGUAUCCAAGAUGAAGAGAAAGUAUGAGGUGCAGUCUGGAGGCAGGAAAGAUGGGCUGCAUCGGAAUCACACCAGGUAGAAUGGUUGGUUGGUUGAAUUGGGAGGUGGAGCUGGAGAGGUAUGUAGGGCAGAUGGCAAAAGGCCUUAAAUUCAGGCCAAGGAGAGUGGACUUGAUUAUGGAGGCAACAGAGACUGAGGGACAAGAGCUGGGAUUGGAAAGAGGCCCCAAGCAUAUAUGAAGCUCCCCUACUCAUGCCUGCCCCACACCUUUUCAUGGGAUGUUGUACAGCACACUCCCAGAUUUGGAAAGCCCCAUCUAUAAAUCUUUCAGUCCCAGGAUCACUCCUUUCUACAGUGGCUUCAGCAGCAAUGACAGAGUCAAGAGAGGUCACCCUUUAGGUUUCUCAACACAGUUGCCCUUCCCCUCUGGAAAAACUACAUCACGGUGGAAUGGGAGAGGUGGAGAUGAAGGCUAAACACAAGAAAGAGGUUAACUACUCAUAGAGUGUCAGACGAAAUAACCUGAAAGUUCUCUGCUACAAAACACUCAGAAAUGCUGGUAAGAAAAUUUUCAGUCAUUUUAAAUGUACAGCUAAGCUUACAGGAACAUGAGAGCAUUUUCCUUCUUUUUUUAAAAAAAUAGACUUGGGGGUACAAGUGUUGUUUUGUUACAUGGAUACAUUGGAUAGUGUAGUCUGGGCUUUUAGUGUAGUCAUCACUCAAAUAUUGUCCGCUGUACCCAUUAAAGAAUUUCUCUUCCUUUACCCCCCUCCCACCCUUCCAACUCUCCAAUGUCUGUCACUCCACAGUGAGGGCAUUUUCAAGGUCAAAAUGAAGGGAGAGCUGAGCACUGGAGCAGGUAGAAGGCUGCAGCUGCCUUGCAGAGUUUACAGCAGGAGAUGUCAGGGCAACAGUGGAACUGCGAGGUUGCUUCCAAGCAGGAGGACAGCCUGGGAAGGACUGUGCUGGGAGGCCCUCUGAGAGUCUCACUCUGUGAGUGACUCUGAGUCCCUGGCUGCCCUCUGCAUACAGUGCUUGGAAAAGCCACGCAUAUUUUGUCUAAAGAAACCACUGGUAAGGUGGACGAACCCGACUUGGCUUACCUCUAACAUCCCACAUCACUUCUGCUCUUCUCUGAGUCUUAAUUUUAUCAUAUUUUAACUGGAAAUGGUGUCACCACAAUAGACCUCACAGGACUGCUGGAAGAACUUGUUCAGUAUUCAACUAAUAUGUAUUAAGCAAGGAGCGUGACAAGUGCUGGGAUAUGGAGUUGAACAGGAAAAAAUCCCUGCCUGCAAGGAGCUUACGUUCUGGUGCAUAAACAGACACUCUAUAAACAAUGUGGACAUGAAGUGGCAGAGAUCAGCACUAGGUAGAGAGGAAGGAGCUCCCCCAAGCCUUGGCCAGGAGGGUUGGCAGGCCCUGGGGGGAGGUGGUGUUUGAACUGAGUCAUGAGGGAUGGAUAAAUAGAAAUCUUUCACAAGAAGUGGGCAGGGCAUUCCAGGAAUGAGCUAGAAAGCCCAGAGUCCAAAGCAGCAUGACAUGUACAAAAACUACACAUGGCACAGGUAAAAUGUGGGUGGGAUGCGGAGACAGAAAAGGGUCAAUAGGGACACAGCUCACAUGAUUGGAAGAUGAGACCCUGGAUAGACUCCAGUAAAACUUAUGUGAAUUUCAGAGAACUCCUCCCUCCUUGCAAUAAUUCACAAUCCUAUUCCCACCACCAUGACACCCAGUGGUAUCCUCAGAGUAGGAGUCAGCUUACUGCUUGGACUUAACCUACCUUCCCCAGAAAGCAGAGCUUGAGGCAGAGGGCUUUUGAGCUGCCAUAGAUGAUCCUCAACUUACCAUGGUUUAACUUAUGACUUUUCAACUUUAUGAUGGUGCAAGAGUGAUACACAUUCAGUAGAAACCGUAGUUCAAGAGCCCAUACAACCAUUCUGAUUUUCACUUGCAGUACAGUGUUCAAUAAGUCACAUGAGAUAUUUAACACUUUAUUAUAAAAUAGGCUUUGUGUUAGAUGAUUUUGCCUGACUGUGGGCUAAUGGAAGUGGUUUGAGCACAUUUGAGGUAGGCUAGAGUAAGCUAUGUUGUUCAGUAGGUUAGGUGUAUUAAAUGCAUUUUCAACUUAUGAUAUUUUCAGUUUUCAAUGGGUUUAUUGGGACAUAACCACAUCAUAAGCCAAGAAGCAUCUGUAUUUUACUAGGGAGCAGGAGUGAGGAACAAGGAGAGCGAAGCAGGCAAGAGGGAGGAUACAAGGAUAUAUGAUGGAGACGGCCACUGCUAAAUGCACCUCAUUAUUCAACCUCAUGGAAAUGUCCCCCGAGAAACCAUGCAAUCUGUGUCUCAGGUAGGGUGACCAACCAUCCUGGUUUUCUCAAGAUGGGGGGAUUUUUCCAGGAUGUGGAACUUUCAGUGCCAAACCCAGGAAGGUCCUGGGAAAACGAGAAUGAGCUUGUUCCGUAGAAUCAGGACCACUGGAUUUGAGGAUAGAAAAAUGGAAAGAUAGGGAAGGUAACAGUUGAUGGUCUUGAUUGCUUUAUGAAGUGCGACAUACAGAGAUGGGUGUGGGAAACUAAAAAUGGGGUAUGAAUAGUUGAAAGAAGUGGAAGGAUGAGUAAAAAGAUGCCCUAGUGGCACUAACAGCCUGGCUAAAAUUGAAGACCUUGAAUUGUUGCUGAAUAGUAUUGAUUUAUUCAGUCAUUCAUUCACCCAUUUUGAGUCAUGUCCGUGAUUGUUGGUUACCAUGGGAACAUUGAUCAGUGAUGUAAUUUUGGCCAUACCAAUACAUGUCAGAGUCUCAUGGAAGUUCAGAGCUCCACGCUGUCAACCAGGGUCAUGACUCCAUCAUGGCCACACCAUUUACGUUACUGAAUGUUCUCAUUCUCUACCACAGCUGCCACUACCGAGUGGAUGCUGAUGCUUCCGAAAUCUCUAGCCCCAGUCCAAACCUUUUCCUGGGCAUCAGACCUACAAACACCCAACAGGCACCUCAGUCUCAACAUCUCCAAACCCAUAUUCAUCAUCUUACCCCCAAAACCUGCUCCAGCAAGGGAGUGGACUUUCCCAGACAGUCUGUGUAUAUGAGGAUACCAAGUUACCUUCUCACUAUCUACUUCCUUGCUUGGUUCUGAAAAUGCCAUCUCCAAAGGCUUCCCCAUGGUUUGAGGAAUCAUGACUUUCAGGGGAUACAUGUGGGACAAUCUGGAGGAAAAGUGUUUGAGGCAGAGAAAACAGCUAGUGCUAAAGCCUUAAGGCAGGAAAAAAGUGUGUUUCAGGGAUGUAAAGAAGGUCAGUCUAACUGAGCUUGGUAGACAAGGAAGAGUCUGGUUCAAAGGGAAGCUGGAGAAGUAAACAGGAGCUAGAUCACAUGGAGCACUGUAGGUCAAGUGAAGGAGAUUAGACUUUCUUCUUGGAGCACUGCAAAAUCAUUUAAGGGUUAUAAACAGAAGAGCUGGUGCAUUAGCCAGGGUUCUCCAGAGAGACAGAACCCUUAAGAUAUAUAUAAAUGUAGAGAAAAAGAUUCAUCAUGAGGAAUUGGCUUAUGUGAUUAUCUGCUAUCUGCAAGCUGAAGGCCCAGGAAAGCCAGUGGUGUAGUUCUUAUCCAAGCCCAAAGGCCUGAGAAUCAGGAGUGCUGAUGUCCGAGAAUAAAAGAAGAUGGAUGUUCCAGCUCCAGAGAAGAGAGAAUGUACCCUUCCUCGACAUUUUUUGUUCUUUUCCAGUCCUCAAUGGACUGGGUGAUGCCCAUGCAUGUUGGGGAGGGUGGAGCUUCUUUACUGCCUGCUGAUUCAAAUGCUAAUGUCUUCUGGAAACACGUGCACAGACAUACUCAGAAAUAAUGUUUUGCCAGCUAUCUGGGUAUGCCUUAGCCCAGUGAAGCUGGCACACAAAAUUAACCAUCACAGUACGCAUGAUUUGAUUUAUACUUUUAAAUACACCUUUAAAUUUGAUUUCCACCCUGGCUGCUGAGUGGACAAUAGAAAGUACAGGAACAAGACAAAUAGGACAUAGGCAGGGAGACCAAUUAAGGGAGACCAGGAGAUAGGCAGGGAGACCAGACUGCAGUAAUCUAGGUGAGAGUUGAUGUUGGAUGGGACUAAGACGUAAUUGUGAUGAUGAAGAGAAGUUUCAGAUUCUUGAUUAGUUCUAGGGGGGACGUUCAACAGGACUUAAGUAUAAGGCAUGAGGAAAUAAAUCAAAGAUGUGUCCAAGGUUUUAGGCCUGAUCAUCUGUGUGAAUGUGUGUUAUUUACUGGGAUGGGGAAGACCUGGGGGAGGAACAUGUUUGGAGGUGAAAGGAAAAGCAAGAGUUUGAUUUGGGACAAAGCAAGUCUGAGACACCUAUUAGACAUCCAAGUAGAGGUAUAAAAUAUAAGGUUGGAUAUAUAUGAGUGUGAGCUAGACAGAGCUGUAUGUAGUUUUGGGAGGCACUGCAGCAUAUUCAAAGCCUUGGGCCAGAGGAGCUCAGGAGCUCACCAGGGAGAAGAUGGAUCUAAAGAAGGAGAUCUAUGGCCAAGACUUGCAGCACUAUGACAUUUAGAAAUCAAGCAGCAAAUGUGCAGGGCUGCUAAGGAGACUACAAAGGGACAACUAAAAAGAUAUGAUAUUCUAGAAGCCAAGAGAAGAAAGCAGUUCAAGAAGGGUGUGGCCAACUCUAUCAACCAUAUAAUACGCUGCUGAGAGAUCAAAUAAGGACAGAGAAGUGACCACUGGAGGUCAUCAGCAGCCUCGUGAAAAACAGUCUCAGUGGGGUGGAAGAAAGAGAGGACCCAUAGCACAGGGCUGAGCAGAGAAUCAAAGGUGAGGAAGUAGACACAGGAGACAACUCCCUGAAAAGGGCUUCUGUGAGGGACAGCAGAGAACUAGAUCAGCUACAGGAAAAGGUAGGGUAAGGAAAAGGCUCUGCAAACCCUGGAGAUACUGGAACAGGUCUGCAUUUUGGGGGAAUGAUCUGAGUGGAAAGAAAGAACCUAGAGAUGCAGCAGAGAUAGGAGAAUUGCAGAAGCAAAGUCCUCUAAAAAACCAAGAGGCCAGAGGAUUAAGCUUACAAGCGAAGAGGGUUUCUCUUGGUAAAAGCAAAGAUACUUUAUCCACAGCAAUAUGAAGACACGAAGGAAAUAUUAACACAAAUUCAGAUGAAUUGGGAGGUAUGCUGGGAAGAUAAAGGUCCUCCUUUAUCAAGGACACAGCCAAACCAUAUCAAGGAGGACCUAUAUAACUGCUUCUAUUUUUUCAGUGAAAUAUGAGAUGAGGUCAUCAGGUAAGAAUGAGGGAAGAUAACAAGGUGGAUGGCCCUUCCUGACAGAUAAGAGGCCCCAGUAAGUGAGGGAGGCAAGGGAGGCAGGAGGUAAAAAUGUGAAAUAGUUGUUUUGAAGACUGGGAAGUGGAACACAUAGUGAAGGGUAGGAUUGCUGAGCAGGGCUGAGUGCUCAUUUGAGAUCUGUGGUCAUGAAUUUAAAGCAAGACCAGUUGGUCUAGAUAUAUGUUUUUCUCUCAUGACGUUUACCGGCUUGAGUUCAGGUAUGUAGUAGUCAGAUGUGUAGGCUUAAGCUGAGAGCAAAUAUGAAGGAAGAAGAGUGGAAUACAGGAAUUAGAAUACUUGAAAUAGAGUAGUUAUGAUGAUGAACCACAGAAAUUUAGCUGGUUAAGGAAGGAAGUGAGAACCUGAGGGAAAUGACAGAUAGUGGGAAAAGUGGAAGGGCCAGUGUAUUGGAAGUCUUGAUGAGGUGGAUUGGAAAUACUGCCCCAAGGGAGCUGGGAUGAAAGGAGGUAGCAGGCAGAGAAUGUAGGUUUUUGGUGAUGGUAUGGUCAUGGACAUGACAAAGGUAAUGAGUGGCUGGAAUGGAACAGAUCAAAAGAGUAAAUUAAAAAGAAGAUGUAUUAGUCUGUUCUCACAAUGCUAACAAAGA